AACGUAGGGCGCAAGCGUUGCGCGGAAUCAUUGGGCGUAAAGGGCGUGUAGGCGGUCUUUUAAGUCCAGCGUGAAAUCCUCCGGCUUAACCGGAGAACUGCGCUGGAUACUGGAAGGCUGGAGUACGGGAGAGGGAGGUAGAAUUCCCGGUGUAGCGGUGAAAUGCGUAGAUAUCGGGAGGAAUACCCGUGGCGUAAGCGGCCUCCUGGCCCGUCACUGACGCUGAAACGCUAAAGCGUGGGUAG
RNAcentral lists this ribosomal RNA (245 nucleotides) under uncultured bacterium. RNAcentral describes it as "partial 16S ribosomal RNA". It matches the Rfam family "Bacterial small subunit ribosomal RNA", at positions 524 to 768 of the family's 1533-position model. The record is from RNAcentral.